Molecule: long non-coding RNA, 214 nt
Filed under: Panax ginseng (ginseng)
Lineage: Eukaryota; Viridiplantae; Streptophyta; Magnoliopsida; Apiales; Araliaceae
Description: long non-coding RNA (PGIN_LNC008677)
Source: RNAcentral
UUGAACUGUCUUGAUAUGGUGCUUACAGAUGUAGUCCUAUGUGUGUAUAUUCAAUGCCUUCGUUGUCUUUCCAUUAAUAGAAGAACUACAGUUUUGAAUAUAUGCUUAGAUCUCAAAAACUUCAUUUUUUCCUGCACAUGUCCUUGAGUUUUCAUAUAUAAUCUGGGUGGUUAUGGUGCCAUGUUGUUCUAUUUUAUUGGUGUGUUUCGAUAAA